GAUGAACGCUAGCGGCAGGCCUAAUACAUGCAAGUCGGACGGGAUUCAGGAGCUUGCUUCUGAUGAGAGUGGCGCACGGGUGCGUAACACGUAUGUAACCUACCUUUAUCAGGGGGAUAGCCUCUCGAAAGAGAGAUUAAGCCCGCAUAAAAUCACAGCACAGCAUUGUGUAAUGAUCAAAUAUUUAUAGGAUAAAGAUGGGCAUGCGGAACAUUAGCUAGAUGGCGGGGUAACGGCCCACCAUGGCGACGAUGUUUAGGGGAUCUGAGAGGAUGGCCCCCCACACUGGUACUGAGACACGGACCAGACUCCUACGGGAGGCAGCAGUAAGGAAUAUUGGGCAAUGGGCGGAAGCCUGAACCAGCCAUGCCGCGUGCAGGAAGACGGCCCUACGGGUUGUAAACUGCUUUUAUACGGGAAUAAACCCAGAUACGUGUAUCUGGCUGAAUGUACUGUAAGAAUAAGAAUCGGCUAACUCCGUG
Molecule: ribosomal RNA, 482 nt
Filed under: uncultured bacterium
Lineage: Bacteria
Description: partial 16S ribosomal RNA
Rfam family: Bacterial small subunit ribosomal RNA
Source: RNAcentral